GAUGAACGCUGACAGAAUGCUUAACACAUGCAAGUCUACUUGAAUUUGGGUUUUUUCUCUUUGAUUUGGGUGGCGGACGGGUGAGUAACGCGUAAAGCACUUGCCUCUCAGCUAGGGACAACAUUUGGAAACGAAUGCUAAUACCUGAUAUUAUGAUUAUAAGGCAUCUUAGAAUUAUGAAAGCUAUAUGCGCUGUGAGAGAGCUUUGCGUCCCAUUAGCUAGUUGGAGAGGUAACGGCUCACCAAGGCGAUGAUGGGUAGCCGGCCUGGGAGGGUGAACGGCCACAAAGGGACUGAGACACGGCCCGUACUCCUACGGGAGGCAGCAGUGGGGAAUAGUGGACAAUGGACCAAGAGUCUGAUCCAGCAAUUCUGUGUGCACGAUGACGUUUUUCGGAAUGUAAAGUGCUUUCAGUUGGGAAGAAAAAAAUGACGGUACCAACAGAAGAAGCGACGGCUAAAUACGUG
Molecule: ribosomal RNA, 468 nt
Filed under: uncultured bacterium
Lineage: Bacteria
Description: partial 16S ribosomal RNA
Rfam family: Bacterial small subunit ribosomal RNA
Source: RNAcentral